RNAcentral lists this microRNA precursor (195 nucleotides) under Oryza brachyantha (malo sina). RNAcentral describes it as "MIR812 microRNA precursor family". It matches the Rfam family "MIR812 microRNA precursor family". Lineage: Eukaryota; Viridiplantae; Streptophyta; Magnoliopsida; Poales; Poaceae. The record is from Rfam by way of RNAcentral.
AAUAAACCAAUUUUUCACUUUUUACCUACAAUUUUAACUCUUCUUUUUAUUUAAAAUUUUUUUGUGAUUGAUAUUUUUGUUUUUGUUAGAUGAUAAAUUAUAAAUAGUACUUUACGUAUGACUAAUUUUUUUUCUAGUUUUCUGAAAUUUUUUUAAAUAAGACGGAUAGUCAAAUGUUGGAUACGAAAACCGAAG